RNAcentral lists this ribosomal RNA (619 nucleotides) under uncultured Alphaproteobacteria bacterium. Its description in RNAcentral is "bacterial SSU rRNA". It matches the Rfam family "Bacterial small subunit ribosomal RNA", at positions 28 to 691 of the family's 1533-position model. Lineage: Bacteria; Pseudomonadati; Pseudomonadota; Alphaproteobacteria. The record is from RNAcentral.
AGCGAACGCUGGCGGCAGGCCUAACACAUGCAAGUCGAGCGCUCAUCUUCGGAUGGGAGCGGCGCACGGGUGAGUAACACGUGGGAACCUACCUUGAAGUAUGGAAUAACUGAGGGAAACUUCAGCUAAUACCGUAUACGCCCUACGGGGGAAAGAUUUAUCGCUUCAAGACGGGCCCGCGUUGGAUUAGCUAGUUGGUGAGGUAAUGGCUCACCAAGGCGACGAUCCAUAGCUGAUUUGAGAGAAUGAUCAGCCACACUGGGACUGAGACACGGCCCAGACUCCUACGGGAGGCAGCAGUGGGGAAUAUUGGACAAUGGGCGCAAGCCUGAUCCAGCCAUGCCGCGUGAGUGAUGAAGGCCUUCGGGUUGUAAAGCUCUUUCAGAUGGGACGAUGAUGACGGUACCAUCAGAAGAAGCCCCGGCUAACUUCGUGCCAGCAGCCGCGGUAAUACGAAGGGGGCUAGCGUUGUUCGGAAUUACUGGGCGUAAAGCGCGCGUAGGCGGCUUUGUCAGUCAGGGGUGAAAUCCCGGGGCUUAACCUCGGAACUGCCUUUGAUACUGCAAGGCUUGAGUCUGUGAGAGGAUGGUGGAAUACCCAGUGUAGAGGUGAAAUUCGU